RNAcentral lists this ribosomal RNA (253 nucleotides) under uncultured bacterium. RNAcentral's name for it is "partial 16S ribosomal RNA". It matches the Rfam family "Bacterial small subunit ribosomal RNA", at positions 524 to 776 of the family's 1533-position model. RNAcentral also lists the same sequence under 1 other name. The record is from RNAcentral.
UACGGAGGAUCCGAGCGUUAUCCGGAUUUAUUGGGUUUAAAGGGUGCUCAGGCGGGGGAUUAAGUCGGCGGUGAAAUUUUGCGGCUCAACCGUAAAAGUGCCUUCGAAACUGGUUUCCUUGAGUGUGGAUGAGGUAGGCGGAAUUUGUGGUGUAGCGGUGAAAUGCAUAGAUAUCACGAGGAACUCCGAUUGCGCAGGCAGCUUACCAGGCCAUAACUGACGCUCAAGCACGAAGGCGUGGGGAUCAAACAGG